CACAGGAGCAAUCUCUUAAAAUUAUACAUUGCAUGAUUGUGCAAAUUAAGCCGAGUUAUUGCACAUGGAACAAAGGAGUUUUUACUCCUAUUGCUCUUGAACUGGGGUACUCUAAUUAAAUCUAAUCUGG
Long non-coding RNA from Sander lucioperca (pikeperch), 130 nucleotides. RefSeq lists it as uncharacterized. NCBI's taxonomy places the organism in Eukaryota, Metazoa, Chordata, Actinopteri, Perciformes, Percidae. The transcript is spliced from 4 exons. The record is from RefSeq and is a predicted model, not a curated record.